RNAcentral lists this ribosomal RNA (470 nucleotides) under uncultured bacterium. Its description in RNAcentral is "bacterial SSU rRNA". It matches the Rfam family "Bacterial small subunit ribosomal RNA", at positions 8 to 507 of the family's 1533-position model. The record is from RNAcentral.
AGAGUUUGAUCCUGGCUCAGGAUAAACGCUGGCGGCGUGCAUGAGACAUGCAAGUCGAACGAACGAGCUUGCUCGUUAGUGGCGGACGGCUGAGUAACGCGUAGGUGACCUGCCCCGAAGUGGGGGAUAACUGCCUGAAAGGGUAGCUAAUACCGCAUGUGGCGAUGUGUUCAUUCACAUCAUCAAAGCCGCGAGGCGCUUCGGGAGGGGCCUGCGUCCGAUUAGCUCGUUGGUGGGGUAACGGCUCACCAAGGCGACGAUCGGUAGGUGGUCUGAGAGGACGAUCACCCAGACUGGGACUGGGACACGGCCCAGACUCCUACGGGAGGCAGCAGUCGGGAAUUUUGCUCAAUGGGGGAAACCCUGAAGCAGCAACGCCGCGUGCGGGAUGAAGGCCUUCGGGUUGUAAACCGCUUUUACCAGGGACGAUGAUGACGGUACCUGAUGAAUAAGUCACGGCUAACUACGUG